AUUCUGGGGAACCUGAAAAGGCGUUGACGAACCAGAAUUUAUGAGGCAAACGUUGUCAUUUUGCCAUCGUUCUCCGAGUUGUCUUUGGGAAGCUGGCGUCCAAAUACAGUAGAAACAAUUUGGAGGCCUCAAAGAAAGGUGUAAGGAGUAUUCUUGUUUUGCUUCCUUUACUUGGUGUCAAGUAUUUGGAAUGAGACAGUUCAAUGAUGCUUUGCAUUACCUCUUCAUUGUGCUCAACUCAGCUCAGCUCGUCCUGGAUGAAUUGGACAAAGAAGAGACAAUUCAAGAAGGAAAAAUUACUUUUUCAUCAUCCUUGAGAGAGAAAGAGUGUGAAUCGCACUAUAGCUUACACCCUGUAGAUGGUGUAUAUAUCCGUUAUGCAGUUUAAAAAGCUGUGUUACUCGUUCAUGCUUCUCUAAAGGUUGGAAUAUUUGAAAAAAAAAGUGACAGUGUUAAAGAUGAUUGUCGGUAAAAAUGUGUUUUGAUGCUGAACAAUAGCAGUGCGCUAUUCUCUACUCGUAUUCAUUUCUCUUUAUAACCUUCAGUUUGACUACAAAGAAUGCCUGUGGCUUUCACUCAACUCUUAAACGGUUAACAGUGAGCCGCAGUACAGGCGCGUAUUGUCCUAUACGCAUAUACGCACGUGCAUACUUGAAGCGACCAGAGAAAUUUGAAAACAAUGUUGUG
This is a long non-coding RNA of Stylophora pistillata, 687 nucleotides long. Lineage: Eukaryota; Metazoa; Cnidaria; Anthozoa; Scleractinia; Pocilloporidae. The record is from RefSeq and is a predicted model, not a curated record.